UCUCCCUUUAACCGACGCCAUCAACGGUGAACUCCCAUGAAAUCUAACCCUUAUUUUUCUUCUUUUUCUCACUGAAAGAAGAGAAAAGUUCAUCAUAGCCUCUUUCUCUCACCAAAAGCCAUCGAUGGUGAACCCUUAUUGAUACUGAACCCCUUCCUUUAUCAAACCUCGAUUUCUUUAUCUCAAACACAAUCAUUUGGUUUGGGAGAUGACGAUAUGGGUUUCAAAAGCUACCAGUAGGAUUAUCACAAUCGGAGAUCAACUGUAUCAGAGGUGAUCAGGCACAUGACUAGGCUCAAUAAUGGCAACCACGUGACUAGGCUCAAUAAUGGCAACCUGAAGAUCUAUUUUUCGGCUAACCCUUAUGCCUCCUAAGGAGGUUUCAGAAAAAGUCAUGUGGUCAAGUUUUGUGAAUUAAGUUUAAGACUCUGUUUUUAUUUUCUCAAAAUCCGAACAAGUUUCCAUCUAUCUGUAUAUUGGGCUAGUCCUAACUUGGUUUAUCUGUACAUGUGUAUGACGCAAGACUAAUGUAUAUAUAUGACGUAACAUUUUGCCAAGAUAAAGUUUUAAUUCCA
Non-coding RNA from Camellia sinensis, 575 nucleotides. The record is from RefSeq and is a predicted model, not a curated record. Lineage: Eukaryota; Viridiplantae; Streptophyta; Magnoliopsida; Ericales; Theaceae.